Molecule: small nucleolar RNA, 96 nt
Organism: Lucilia sericata (common green bottle fly)
Lineage: Eukaryota; Metazoa; Arthropoda; Insecta; Diptera; Calliphoridae
Product: small nucleolar RNA psi18S-1377
Exons: 1
Source: RefSeq, a predicted model, not a curated record
ACGUUCUUGUGUUAUUUGUUGAUUGUGUUUUCUUGUAAAAAUCAAUGAUUGUCAAAAAGAACGUAAAUUAAACUAAAACAACAACUCGUUAUUAUU